UGAAACACCAACCCUGUAUGAUUACCAAAGUUAAGCAACAUUGGGCUUGGUCAGUACCUAGAUGGGUGACCACUUGGGAAUACCAGGUACUGUAAG
Acanthosepion pharaonis is the source of this 96-nucleotide non-coding RNA. Lineage: Eukaryota; Metazoa; Mollusca; Cephalopoda; Sepiida; Sepiidae. The record is from the annotation of a GenBank genome assembly.